RNAcentral lists this ribosomal RNA (295 nucleotides) under uncultured bacterium. RNAcentral's name for it is "partial 16S ribosomal RNA". It matches the Rfam family "Bacterial small subunit ribosomal RNA", at positions 505 to 796 of the family's 1533-position model. The record is from RNAcentral.
GUGACAGCAGCCGCGGUAAUACAGAGACCUCAAGCGUUAUCCGGAAUCAUUGGCGUAAAGCGUACCGAUAGGUGGUUAUACAAGUCAAAAGUGAAAUCUCCGAGCUCAACUCGGAAUCUGUCUUUUGAAACUGUAUGACUGGAGGGGCAAAGAGGAAGCUGGAACGAACGGUGUAGUAGUGAAAUGCGUUGAUAUCGUUCGGAACACCAAUAGCGUAGGCAGGCUUCUGGGUGCCACCUGACACUGCUAGGACGAAAGCGUGGGGAGCGAAUGGGAUUAGAAACCCUUGUAGUCC